Long non-coding RNA from Vigna unguiculata (cowpea), 772 nucleotides. Lineage: Eukaryota; Viridiplantae; Streptophyta; Magnoliopsida; Fabales; Fabaceae. The record is from RefSeq and is a predicted model, not a curated record.
GAAUAGGUUUCAUCUUCCCUGUGAUGAUUCACGAUUCUUCUUCCAUUUUCUUCGACCAUUAUUUUCAUUCCUAAAUCCUUCUUUGACCAUUUUUCUCUUAGCCAUAGUCUCACUACCCAUUCACAAGUUUCGUUGUCGUCAUCGUCGCCACUGACCUUGCCCCUGUCCAGGUUCGUUAUUCGCCUCAGCCGUUGUCCAUUCCUCCUCAUAACAAGCCUUCGCGAGCACCUCCUUGUUGCACCUCACCACAAGUUCAAAGUAUUGAGUGUUUGCCCUCGUUUAGGUCUUCUUCUGCGGUUGGACGCUCACACACUCUAGGUCUUCAAUCUUGUUCGCUCACCGUUGGGAUUUAGCUUUGUGAUUUUUUUAUUGAACAUUUGCUUGGAUUUAGGAAAUAACAAUUGUGAUCGUUUUCGUAAGUACAUAGCAAGGUGGAGCAAAUUUUGUGAACUCUGGAUACACGAAGGGCGAUGGAUUUGGAGCUAAGAUUAUUGGCACUUUUGUUCUUGUCUGCAUCGUUUUCUCUACAACUAAUGCCAAGAGAAGCGCUAGAGACUCUCGUGUUCCUGUUUUGGCUCCACUUUCCAUUGGAUUUGUUGUGUUCUUGGUCCACUUGGCCACCAUUCCCAUCACAACAACUAGUAUGGAUCUGAUGAGGCAUAAAGCCGGAGCGUGAGCUAUAUGGGAGAAAAGAUUUAUCCGAUGUUUUUAAGUUUGUGGGUUUUAAUUGAGUUGUAAACUUUUAUUUUAUGAGACUUUAGAAUUGUAAUGG